AGUGAACGCUGGCGGCGUGCUUAACACAUGCAAGUCGAACGAGAACGGGUUAUAGCUUGCUAUAAUUGUCAGCUAAGUGGCGCACGGGUGAGUAAUGUAUAGGUAAUAUGCCUCUUACUAAGGGAUAACAAAUGGAAACGUUUGCUAAUACCUUAUACUCCUUAUUAACAGAAGUUAAUAAGGGAAAGAUUUAUUGGUAAGAGAUUAGCCUGUAUUGUAUCAGUUAGUUGGUGAGGUAAUGGCUUACCAAGACUAUGACACAUAACUGGUUUGAGAGGAUGAUCAGUCACACUGGAACUGAGACACGGGCCAGACUCCUACGGGAGGCAGCAGUGGGGAAUAUUGCACAAUGGACGAAAGUCUGAUGCAGCAACGCCGCGUGGAGGAUGACACAUUUCGGUGCGUAAACUCCUUUUAUAUGAGAAGAUAAUGACGGUAUUAUAUGAAUAAGCACCGGCUAACUCCGUGCCAGCCGCCGCCGUAA
Molecule: ribosomal RNA, 484 nt
Filed under: uncultured bacterium
Lineage: Bacteria
Description: partial 16S ribosomal RNA
Rfam family: Bacterial small subunit ribosomal RNA
Source: RNAcentral